AACGAACGCUGGCGGCAUGCCUAACACAUGCAAGUCGAACGAGAUCUUCGGGUCUAGUGGCGCACGGGUGCGUAACGCGUGGGAAUCUGCCCUUUGGUUCGGAAUAACAGUUGGAAACGACUGCUAAUACCGGAUGAUGACGAAGGUCCAAAGAUUUAUCGCCAGAGGAUGAGCCCGCGUAGGAUUAGCUAGUUGGUGUGGUAAAGGCGCACCAAGGCGACGAUCCUUAGCUGGUCUGAGAGGAUGAUCGGCCACACUGGGACUGAGACACGGCCCAGACUCCUACGGGAGGCAGCAGUGGGGAAUAUUGGACGAUGGGCGAAAGCCUGAUCCAGCAAUGCCGCGUGAGUGAUGAAGGCCUUAGGGUUGUAAAGCUCUUUUACCCGGGAUGAUAAUGACAGUACCGGGAGAAUAAGCUCCGGCUAACCCCGUGCCAGCCGCCGCAGUAA
This 449-nucleotide ribosomal RNA is filed under the name uncultured bacterium. RNAcentral describes it as "partial 16S ribosomal RNA". It matches the Rfam family "Bacterial small subunit ribosomal RNA", at positions 29 to 523 of the family's 1533-position model. The record is from RNAcentral.